AUUGAACGCUGGCGGCAUGCUUUAUACAUGCAAGUCGAACGGCAGCGCGGGCUUCGGCCUGGCGGCGAGUGGCGAACGGGUGAGUAAUACAUCGGAACGUGCCCAGUAGUGGGGGAUAGCUCGGCGAAAGCCGGAUUAAUACCGCAUACGACCUGAUGGUGAAAGCGGGGGAUCUUCGGACCUCGCGCUCUUGGAGCGGGCGAUGGCAGAUUAGCUAGUUGGUGGGGUAAAGGCCUACCAAGGCGACGAUCGGUAGCUGGUCUGAGAGGACGACCAGCCAGACUGGGACUGAGGCACGGCCCAGACUCCUACGGGAGGCAGCAGUGGGGAAUUUUGGAGAAUGGACGAAAGCCUGAUCCAGCAAUGCCGCGUGUGUGAUGAAGGCCUUCGGGUUGGAAAGCACUUUUGGCGGGAACGAAAAGGACUGUGCUAAUACCACGGUUCGAUGACGGUACCCGCAGAAUAAGCACCGGCUAACUACGUG
Molecule: ribosomal RNA, 484 nt
Filed under: uncultured bacterium
Lineage: Bacteria
Description: partial 16S ribosomal RNA
Rfam family: Bacterial small subunit ribosomal RNA
Source: RNAcentral